GGUUGGGCACUCUAGAGGGACUGCCGGCGACAAGUCGGAGGAAGGUGGGGAUGACGUCAAAUCAUCAUGCCCCUUAUGACCUGGGCUACACACGUGCUACAAUGGCGGUACAAAGGGCUGCGAACCCGCGAGGGGGAGCGAAUCCCAAAAAGCCGCUCUCAGUUCGGAUUGCAGGCUGCAACUCGCCUGCAUGAAGCCGGAAUCGCUAGUAAUCGCGGAUCAGCAUGCCCGCGGUCCGAAUACGUUCCGGGCCUU
RNAcentral lists this ribosomal RNA (255 nucleotides) under uncultured Geobacillus sp. Its description in RNAcentral is "partial 16S ribosomal RNA". It matches the Rfam family "Bacterial small subunit ribosomal RNA", at positions 1129 to 1382 of the family's 1533-position model. The record is from RNAcentral. Lineage: Bacteria; Bacillati; Bacillota; Bacilli; Caryophanales; Anoxybacillaceae.